RNAcentral lists this ribosomal RNA (282 nucleotides) under uncultured prokaryote. RNAcentral describes it as "partial 16S ribosomal RNA". It matches the Rfam family "Bacterial small subunit ribosomal RNA", at positions 505 to 786 of the family's 1533-position model. The record is from RNAcentral.
GUGUCAGCAGCCGCGGUAAUACAGAGGGUGCGAGCGUUAAUCGGAAUUACUGGGCGUAAAGCGAGCGUAGGUGGCUUGAUAAGUCAGAUGUGAAAUCCCCGGGCUUAACCUGGGAACUGCAUCUGAUACUGUCAGGCUAGAGUAGGUGAGAGGGAGGUAGAAUUUCAGGUGUAGCGGUGAAAUGCGUAGAGAUCUGAAGGAAUACCGAUGGCGAAGGCAGCCUCCUGGCAUCAUACUGACACUGAGGUUCGAAAGCGUGGGUAGCAAACAGGAUUAGAAACC